Molecule: ribosomal RNA, 468 nt
Filed under: uncultured bacterium
Lineage: Bacteria
Description: partial 16S ribosomal RNA
Rfam family: Bacterial small subunit ribosomal RNA
Source: RNAcentral
GACGAACGCUGGCGGCGUGCUUAACACAUGCAAGUCGAACGGAAAGGCCCUGCUUUUGUGGGGUGCUCGAGUGGCUAACGGGUGAGUAACACGUGAGUAACCUUCCCUUGACUUUUGGAUAACUUCAGGAAACUGGGGCUAAUACCGGAUAGGAGCUCCUGCUGCAUUGUGUGGGUUGGAAAGUUUCGGCGGUUGGGGAUGGACUCGCGGCUUAUCAGCUUGUUGGUGGGGUAGUGGCUUACCAAGGCUUUGACGGGUAGCCGGCCUGAGAGGGUGACCGGCCACAUUGGGACUGAGAUACGGCCCAGACUCCUACGGGAGGCAGCAGUGGGGAAUAUUGCACAAUGGGCGGAAGCCUGAUGCAGCAACGCCGCGUGCGGGAUGACGGCCUUCGGGUUGUAAACCGCUUUCGCCUGUGACGAAGCGUGAGUGACGGUAAUGGGUAAAGAAGCACCGGCUAACUACGUG